AUGAUUGUUCUGUGACUGAGUGGCGGACGGGUGAGUAACGCGUAAGCAACCUGCCCUUCAGAUGGGGACAACAGCUGGAAACGACUGCUAAUACCGCAUAAGCCCACGGUGCCGCAUGACUUUGUUGUCAAAAGGAUUUAUUCGCUGAAGGAUGGGCUCGCGUCCGAUUAGCUAGAUGGUGGGGUAACGGCCCACCAAGGCGACGAUCAGUAGCCGGACUGAGAGGUUGACCGGCCACAUUGGGACUGAGAUACGGCCCAGACUCC
RNAcentral lists this ribosomal RNA (266 nucleotides) under uncultured Oscillospiraceae bacterium. RNAcentral's name for it is "partial 16S ribosomal RNA". It matches the Rfam family "Bacterial small subunit ribosomal RNA", at positions 75 to 339 of the family's 1533-position model. Lineage: Bacteria; Bacillati; Bacillota; Clostridia; Eubacteriales; Oscillospiraceae. The record is from RNAcentral.